GAUGAACGCUGGCGGCGUGCCUAAUACAUGCAAGUCGAGCGAACGGACGAGAAGCUUGCUUCUCUGAUGUUAGCGGCGGACGGGUGAGUAACACGUGGAUAACCUACCUAUAAGACUGGGAUAACUUCGGGAAACCGGAGCUAAUACCGGAUAAUAUUUUGAACCGCAUGGUUCAAAAGUGAAAGACGGUCUUGCUGUCACUUAUAGAUGGAUCCGCGCUGCAUUAGCUAGUUGGUAAGGUAACGGCUUACCAAGGCAACGAUGCAUAGCCGACCUGAGAGGGUGAUCGGCCACACUGGAACUGAGACACGGUCCAGACUCCUACGGGAGGCAGCAGUAGGGAAUCUUCCGCAAUGGGCGAAAGCCUGACGGAGCAACGCCGCGUGAGUGAUGAAGGUCUUCGGAUCGUAAAACUCUGUUAUUAGGGAAGAACAUAUGUGUAAGUAACUGUGCACAUCUUGACGGUACCUAAUCAGAAAGCCACGGCUAACU
Molecule: ribosomal RNA, 492 nt
Filed under: uncultured bacterium
Lineage: Bacteria
Description: partial 16S ribosomal RNA
Rfam family: Bacterial small subunit ribosomal RNA
Source: RNAcentral